RNAcentral lists this ribosomal RNA (473 nucleotides) under uncultured bacterium. RNAcentral's name for it is "partial 16S ribosomal RNA". It matches the Rfam family "Bacterial small subunit ribosomal RNA", at positions 28 to 507 of the family's 1533-position model. The record is from RNAcentral.
GGUGAACGCUGGCGGCGUGCCUAAGACAUGCAAGUCGAGCGGGCCGCGGGGUUUUACUCCGUGGUCAGCGGCGGACGGGUGAGUAACGCGUGGGUGACCUACCCGGAAGAGGGGGACAACCCGGGGAAACUCGGGCUAAUCCCCCAUGUGGACCCGCCCCUUGGGGUGUGUCCAAAGGGCUUUGCCCGCUUCCGGAUGGGCCCGCGUCCCAUCAGCUAGUUGGUGGGGUAAUGGCCCACCAAGGCGACGACGGGUAGCCGGCCUGAGAGGGUGGCCGGCCACAGGGGCACUGCGACACGGGCCCCACUCCUACGGGAGGCAGCAGUUAGGAAUCUUCCGCAAUGGGCGCAAGCCUGACGGAGCGACGCCGCUUGGAGGAAGAAGCCCUUCGGGGUGUAAACUCCUGAACCCGGGACGAAACCCCCGACGAGGGGACUGACGGUACCGGGGUAAUAGCGCCGGCCAACUCCGUG